GGACAGGAUCCUGCAAACCCUGCAUGGCAGGCAUGUACUGCAGCAUAGCUGGUCUGGCCAUGCCUGAGGGACUGUGCCAACCAGGAUUUUAUUGUGCUCAAGGGUCCAACAGCACCUCACCCGUUGGGCUUCCUUUUGGUGAUCUUUGCCUAGCAGGCUAUUACUGCCCUGCUGGCACAAAACACCCAAGUGAGAUGCCAUGCCCUGCUGGUACCUGGAACGAGAGGAGGGGAGCCCAGGAUGCCAGCUGGUGUCUACCCUGUCCUCCUGGGUUCUUCUGCAAUGUGGCAGGCCGGAUUUCCCCUACAGGGCUUUGUGCACCAGGCUAUUACUGCACAGGAGGGGCACGGACCCCAAGGCCAGUGGAUGCUGUGACGGGGGAUCUCUGUCCUGAAGGACACUUCUGCCUUGCAGGCUCAGCAGCACCCUCCCCCUGCCAAGAUGGGGAAUACAGCAAUGCAACAGGUCAAGACAAAUGCUUCCCAUGUCCAGCUGGGUUUCACUGUCAGCACGGCAUAAUGCACCAUUGUCCACCUGGCUUUUACUGCCCCCAGAAGACUGGAAUCAGCUUUUACCCUUGUCCAGCUGGGAGUUACAACCCAUAUCAUGGAAUCAGCCAGGCCGAGAGGUGCCAGCAAUGCCCUGCAGGGAUGUUUUGUGGAGAAUGGGGAUUAUCCUCUCCGAG
RNAcentral lists this long non-coding RNA (685 nucleotides) under Gopherus agassizii (Agassiz's desert tortoise). Its description in RNAcentral is "lncRNA (ENSGAGG00000017178.1)". The record is from RNAcentral. Lineage: Eukaryota; Metazoa; Chordata; Testudines; Testudinidae.